CGCUAGUUUCGGUGGAGCCGUCCUUGAAAUACCACCCUGGUUUGUUUGAGGUUCUAACCUUGGCCCGUGAUCCGGGUCGGGGACAGUGCAUGGUAGGCAGUUUGACUGGGGCGGUCUCCUCCCAAAGCGUAACGGAGGAGUACGAAGGUACGCUAGGUACGGUCGGAAAUCGUGCUGAUAGUGCAAUGGCAUAAGCGUGCUUAACUGCGAGACCGACAAGUCGAGCAGGUGCGAAAGCAGGUCAUAGUGAUCCGGUGGUUCUGUAUGGAAGGGCCAUCGCUCAACGGAUAAAAGGUACUCUGGGGAUAACAGGCUGAUACCGCCCAAGAGUUCAUAUCGACGGCGGUGUUUGGCACCUCGAUGUCGGCUCAUCUCAUCCUGGGGCUGUAGCCGGUCCCAAGGGUAUGGCUGUUCGCCAUUUAAAGAGGUACGUGAGCUGGGUUUAAAACGUCGUGAGACAGUUUGGUCCCUAUCUGCCGUGGGCGUUGGAUAUUUGAAGGGGGCUGCUCCUAGUACGAGAGGACCGGAGUGGACGAACCUCUGGUGUACCGGUUGUCACGCCAGUGGCAUCGCCGGGUAGCUAUGUUCGGAAGAGAUAACCGCUGAAAGCAUCUAAGCGGGAAACUCGCCUUAAGAUGAGAUAUCCCUGGGGACUAGAUCCCCUUGAAGGGUCGUUCGAGACCAGGACGUUGAUAGGUCGGGUGUGUAAGCGCAGUAAUGCGUUCAGCUAACCGAUACUAAUUGCCCGUAAGGCUUGAUCCUAUAACA
This 768-nucleotide ribosomal RNA is filed under the name Burkholderia cenocepacia. RNAcentral describes it as "bacterial LSU rRNA". It matches the Rfam family "Bacterial large subunit ribosomal RNA", at positions 2169 to 2925 of the family's 2925-position model. The record is from RNAcentral. Lineage: Bacteria; Pseudomonadati; Pseudomonadota; Betaproteobacteria; Burkholderiales; Burkholderiaceae.